Elusimicrobia bacterium CG1_02_56_21 is the source of this 85-nucleotide non-coding RNA. NCBI's taxonomy places the organism in Bacteria, Pseudomonadati, Elusimicrobiota. The record is from Rfam.
GGAGAGGUGUGUGAGCGGUUGAAACAGCAGGUCUCGAAAACCUGUAGGGGUAACACCCUCGAGGGUUCGAAUCCCUCCCUCUCCG